Molecule: transfer RNA, 72 nt
Filed under: Marmota monax (woodchuck)
Lineage: Eukaryota; Metazoa; Chordata; Mammalia; Rodentia; Sciuridae
Description: tRNA.Ala
Rfam family: tRNA
About the family: Transfer RNA (tRNA) molecules are approximately 80 nucleotides in length.
Source: RNAcentral
GGGGUUGUAGCUUAGUGGUAGAGUGCUUGCCUUGCAUGCAUGAGGCACUGGGUAUCUAUCCUCAGCACCACA